UGUGUGUGUGUGUGUGUGCGUGUGUGUGUGUAUGUGUGUGUGUCGAAAGGAAACAACAUGGCUGAAGUUGCUGUCCGGACCGAGGGAAGAAGCAAAGGGAUUGUGAUCAGCGAUGACUGGUCAGGUUACAGUUUGGAUCUGUUCAGCUAUCCAGCUCACUACUCCGGAGAUCUGGACUGUGUCAUCAUCCCACAUGGCGUGAUUAUGGAUAGAACUGAGCGUCUUGCUCGAAACAUCAUGGAUGACCUGGGGGACCACGACAUCGUGGUGCUGUGCGUGCUGAAAGGAGGCUACCAGUUCUGUGCAGACCUGGUGGACCGGAUCAAGGCGCUCAGCUGCAACUCCGACCAUACAAUCCCCAUGAGGGUGCAAUUCAUCCGUCUCAAGAGCUAUCUGAACGACCAGUCGACAGAGGAUCUUCACAUACUCGGAGCAGAAGAUCUGUCUUUUUUAGAAGGAAAGAACGUACUGAUUGUGGAGGGCAUCGUGGGCACAGGAAAGACAAUGAAGACUCUCCUGAAGCAUGUCAAAGCGUUCAGGCCCAAAAUGAUCAAAGUAGCAGGACUGCUGGUGAAGAGAGUUCAACAAAGCUCAGCGUGUGUUCCUGACUGUAGAUGUCGGCUUUGAGAUACCUAAUCGUUUUGUGGUUGGAUAUGCGUUGGACUACAAUGAGUAUUUUAGGGACCUCAACCAUAUAUGUGCGAUCAGCGAAAGUGGGAAGAAGAAAUAUAAAAUCUAAAGAGAGGACAGCAACAGCAGAAAGUUUCACACACACGGCCUCUUUUAAUUCCAGGCCAUUUCCCGAAGAUGCCAUUCACCCACAGCUGCUGUGGUAGCUUCCAGUCUGAAGCAGCCGUUAUAACAUUCCUUCGAUUAAAAAAUAUACUUAAUAGUAAUACACACCAAUAUUUCAGUCAGUCAUAUAGGAACAAAAACAAGUAUCUACUUUUUGUGUCUUAAUACUGUAUAACAGGUUAAUUCUCUGUAUUAACAAACCAGUGCACAUGGUACAUGUUUACUACUUAGGAAAUCAGCGGUUUGAUUUUGAGGAUCUGAUUCUGAAACUAAUGAUAUUUCUGUUGUACUUCUUAUGGAAUGUUAGACCACUUGGUAAUUUGGAUGUGUACAUUAUAGAUGUUUUUUCAAGUCUGGUAAACAACUGGAACAUUUUUGAAAGACGGUUUAUUUUUAAUUUCUUCACUUGUAAAUUGCCUUUUGAACAUUUAUUUGAUAAUUCUUAUAUCACUUCUAAUGCUCAGGGGCAAGCAAUUUACUGUUGGUGACAUUACAUAGACUAACUACCUCUCUUGUUUUCUUCAGUUUUUGAUUUGGCGUACUUUUCUCCUUAAUCUUUUUACACUUUAUUCAUAUAAUAAAGCAUUUUUAACAUUUCUG
Molecule: RNA transcript, 1395 nt
Organism: Cololabis saira (Pacific saury)
Lineage: Eukaryota; Metazoa; Chordata; Actinopteri; Beloniformes; Belonidae
Gene name: hypoxanthine-guanine phosphoribosyltransferase-like
Exons: 9
Source: RefSeq, a predicted model, not a curated record